GGGUGGUAAUGCCGGAUGCUCCGACUCCUCGCAUGGGGUGUCGGGAAAGAUUUCAUCGGUAUGGGAUGGGGUCGCGUCCUAUCAGGUAGUCGGCGGGGUAACGGCCCACCGAGCCUACGACGGGUAGCCGGCCUGAGAGGGCGACCGGCCACAUUGGGACUGAGAUACGGCCCAGACUCCUACGGGAGGCAGCAGUGGGGAAUAUUGCACAAUGGGCGCAAGCCUGAUGCAGCGACGCCGCGUGCGGGAUGACGGCCUUCGGGUUGUAAACCGCUUUUGAUCGGGAGCAAGCCUUCGGGUGAGUGUACCUUUCGAAUAAGCACCGGCUAACUACGUGCCAGCAGCCGCGGUAAUACGUAGGGUGCAAGCGUUAUCCGGAAUUAUUGGGCGUAAAGGGCUCGUAGGCGGUUCGUCGCGUCCGGUGUGAAAGUCCAUCGCUUAACGGUGGAUCUGCGCCGGGUACGGGCGGGCUGGAGUGCGGUAGGGGAGACUGGAAUUCCCGGUGUAACGGUGGAAUGUGUAGAUAUC
Molecule: ribosomal RNA, 528 nt
Filed under: Bifidobacterium catenulatum
Lineage: Bacteria; Bacillati; Actinomycetota; Actinomycetes; Bifidobacteriales; Bifidobacteriaceae
Also listed under: 1 other name
Description: bacterial SSU rRNA
Rfam family: Bacterial small subunit ribosomal RNA
Source: RNAcentral